Phialemonium atrogriseum is the source of this 82-nucleotide non-coding RNA. The record is from the annotation of a RefSeq genome assembly. Lineage: Eukaryota; Fungi; Ascomycota; Sordariomycetes; Cephalothecales; Cephalothecaceae.
GGUCUAGUGGCCCAAUGGCAAGGCGUUUGACUACGACAGCGUUGUUAUCAAAAGAUUGCAGGUUCGAUCCCUGCCUAGAUCA